Molecule: ribosomal RNA, 370 nt
Filed under: uncultured bacterium
Lineage: Bacteria
Description: bacterial SSU rRNA
Rfam family: Bacterial small subunit ribosomal RNA
Source: RNAcentral
GACGAACGCUGGCGGCGUGCUUAACACAUGCAAGUCGAGCGGUAAGGCCCUUUCGGGGGUACACGAGCGGCGAACGGGCGAGUAACACGUGGGUGACCUGCCCUCAGCUCUGGGAUAAGCCUGGGAAACCGGGUCUAAUACUGGAUAUGACUCCAUGACGCAUGUUGUGGGGUGGAAAGCCUUGUGCGGCUGAGGAUGGGCCCGCGGCCUAUCAGCUUGUUGGUGGGGUGAUGGCCUACCAAGGCGACGACGGGUAGCCGGCCUGAGAGGGCGACCGGCCACACUGGGACUGAGACACGGCCCAGACUCCUACGGGAGGCAGCAGUGGGGAAUCUUGCGCAAUGGGCGAAAGCCUGACGCAGCGACGCCG